This is a long non-coding RNA of Nerophis ophidion (straightnose pipefish), 2809 nucleotides long. RefSeq lists it as uncharacterized. Lineage: Eukaryota; Metazoa; Chordata; Actinopteri; Syngnathiformes; Syngnathidae. The record is from RefSeq and is a predicted model, not a curated record. The transcript is spliced from 4 exons.
CAGAUCCGGUGGAAUCUUAACAGCUGGGACUUGACCAGUCCCGCGUAGGUAUGUCGGGGGUGGAAACUGGUCUUGUGGAGGAGGGCAUGGGUGUCAGUCUGUUUAAAAUAAACCUUUAUGUCCAGAUUGUGAGUGGAGGGGAAGUCUGGACCUUUGUAUGUGGUGGUGUCCAAGAAAUCCACCGACAUGGGGCUGGUGGUGGACUUGAUAGUGAUACUGGGGUUGUGAGUAUUGAGGGUGUGGCGGAACACCUCAAACUCCUCUACGGAGUGGGCCCAUACCCCCCAGAUAUCAUCGAGGUACCGUAAGUAAUGCAGGGGCUUAAUCGGGCACGCUGCGAGGGCGGAGGUCUCCCAUUCCGCCAUGAAAAUAUUGGCGUAUGCCGGGGCAAAUUUCUUCCCCAUGGCUGUCCCUUUAAUCUGGAGGAAGAACUUCCCAUUAAAUUCAAAGUCGUUCCUCCUUAAAUUUAUGUCGAGCAGCUGCAGGAGUUCUUUGUCCGGCCUGCUAACGUCUCGAUAUUUGCCAAAUAUAUUUUUUACGGCUUGGAUGCCCUGUUAAAUGUCUAUGUUUGUGUAUAAACUGUCUAUAUCAAUUGUGAACAGAAUGGCCUCUUGGGGAAUGGUGAGAUUUUUUAUUUUUUCUAUAAAGUCAUAUGUGUCUUUUAAAUAACUAUUGUGUUUGGUGGAAAGUGGCGUUAAAUAAAAAUCGAUAAAUUCUGCCGUCCUGUAGGUUUCGCUCCCACAGUCGGAAACUAUGGGCCUGCCCGGGGGUAUGACAUGGGGCUGGCUCCAUUUGUGGGGUUCCUUGUGGAUUUUGGGGAGUAAAUAAAACCUACGAGGACGGGGAUCCGAUUCGCCCAGGAGGUAAGUAAAUUGUUUAUAAUUAAUGAAUUUUUUAUUUAAUAAAUUUUUAAUGAUUUUUUCCACCAUAGGGAUUGUGUCAAGAUAAAUGGGUGCGGCCAACGGGGAGUAGUAGGUGGUGUCGUUCAGUUGUCUGGUGCCCUCCCAGACAUACUGAGACCUGUCAAAGAUGACCACAGCGCUUCCUUUGUCUGCCGGUUUGAUAACAAUGUUAUUGUUAUUUUUCAGACUCUGAAGGGCCUCAGUUUCGUCACGCGUGAGGUUGGGCGUAAUGGCGAGGGCGCAACCCGAUAGGAGCGAUGGAUGCUCGUCCGCUAGGACCAGUGUGUGGACCUCUGGAGGUAGCAGACCGGGUGAGGGCUCCCACUCGGACCGGGCGGUGAAAGGUCGCGGACCGAGGGACCCCUGCUUUUCAUAGAACACCGCGAGUUUGACACCCCUGUGGUAUUCUUGUAAGUCAAACUUCAUUUGGUGGUGCCACUCAGGACUAAGGUUGGUGGAUGGGACGAACGUGAGGCCUUUAUUGAGGAGGGAGCGCUGUGAGGAGGUAAGUGUGAAAUGUUUUGACAAAUUUACAAUGUUUUUGUUUGUGUUUGUGGUGGUGUUGUUUGUGCUUGUGUCACCCCCCCGACAGGUCGGGUUUUUGGGGAUGCCAUGUUUAAAUGGUGAAGCCAGUGCUUCAGCAUGUUUUUGGCCGUUUCCUCGGUCCAGUGAAGGUUGUCCCUCCCCGUAGCAAACUUAUCACUGGGCUUCUGAGAAGUUGAUGAUGGGGAUGGAAAUGUCGGCGUUCGGGAACACCGUUUUGGCCACCUUGAGGGCCCUUUGAAUUUGUUUAAAGAUGGCCUCUGCGUGGCGGAAGUUGGCCCCUGGAUAGCUGUCCAUCUGAAGGUCCUGGAGACGGACAGGUGGAAGACGACUAAUAUUGGAGUCACCAAUCACCAGGACCUUCUUAUCAACAGACAGGUGCCAAUCAACCAACUUGCGCGUUGUACUGAUGUGUCUAGUGGGGCCCCUGCGCGGACUCAUAGGUGUGGCUAAUUGUGUCGUGUCUGUAUCCUCUGUCGGCUGAGAGGCCGAAGUGACCGUUCUAGGCCCUUUCCGGAUUCCCGAAAAAAAUUGGGACCAGCUUGGACCCGCUUCGGGAACCGGCGUGCGUGGAGGAGGAGUGUCCACGAGGGGCACGUCCGGAAGAGGCGCGUCCGGGAGGGGCGCGUCCAGGAGGGAGGAAGUCGGCGAGGGUGGUCCCGGUUGGCCAGAACCUAGUUGAGACCAACUGGGGGGCGUGUCAGGGGGCAGCUGGGACCACCCUGGGGGCCCCUCAGGGGAUGACGCCGGCUGCUCAGGUGGCGGUGGCGCGUCCGAGACCGCAGGAGGGACCCUGACUUCGGUCUCGACCCGCGAAUGCGGCCUGGGUGGCGGGACCAGGGGAGCCUCGACAAUGGAAUUGUCGGGAGGACUGCUACAUGGCUCCUGGGGUCGUGUCAUUCUCUGGGGCCUGGAUGGUGCCGCAGCCAGAGAAGAAGGCGACAAAACCGGGAAGGGGACCGGGGUGACCGGUCCCCUAGGACCCGGAACCGGUUCCACCACAGGGGACCAGUCCCCGACCACAGGGUCGGUCAUGGUGGACGCCGUGGCGCGUACAGGAGCGUGCAGGGUUGGAACCGGUAGGGGCAGCGGCAGCGGCAGCGGCGGCGGCGGCUGCACUACCUCCAUCACCACUCGGGUGCUGGACGGAUCCAAGCGGACUGGUGACCCCGUCUGCUGGGAUCGUGACGGACUACCCCCCUCGUCCACGCCACGAACGUCCACACAGAUGGAGAUCACCAGACCCUCGGCUAGCCGCAGUGUCUCGGUGGUCAACCUGCGUCCCAGGUGUGUCCUGGUCCAAGCCGAGGCCACCUGGAAUGGGUCUUUCCAAUUUUGCCCAAUAAAAGCACUCAAUUUGUUGA